This 1528-nucleotide ribosomal RNA is filed under the name Bacteroides thetaiotaomicron. RNAcentral's name for it is "bacterial SSU rRNA". It matches the Rfam family "Bacterial small subunit ribosomal RNA". Lineage: Bacteria; Pseudomonadati; Bacteroidota; Bacteroidia; Bacteroidales; Bacteroidaceae. The record is from RNAcentral.
ACAAUGAAGAGUUUGAUCCUGGCUCAGGAUGAACGCUAGCUACAGGCUUAACACAUGCAAGUCGAGGGGCAGCAUUUCAGUUUGCUUGCAAACUGGAGAUGGCGACCGGCGCACGGGUGAGUAACACGUAUCCAACCUGCCGAUAACUCGGGGAUAGCCUUUCGAAAGAAAGAUUAAUACCCGAUGGUAUAAUCAGACCGCAUGGUCUUGUUAUUAAAGAAUUUCGGUUAUCGAUGGGGAUGCGUUCCAUUAGGCAGUUGGUGAGGUAACGGCUCACCAAACCUUCGAUGGAUAGGGGUUCUGAGAGGAAGGUCCCCCACAUUGGAACUGAGACACGGUCCAAACUCCUACGGGAGGCAGCAGUGAGGAAUAUUGGUCAAUGGGCGCAGGCCUGAACCAGCCAAGUAGCGUGAAGGAUGACUGCCCUAUGGGUUGUAAACUUCUUUUAUAUGGGAAUAAAGUUUUCCACGUGUGGAAUUUUGUAUGUACCAUAUGAAUAAGGAUCGGCUAACUCCGUGCCAGCAGCCGCGGUAAUACGGAGGAUCCGAGCGUUAUCCGGAUUUAUUGGGUUUAAAGGGAGCGUAGGUGGACAGUUAAGUCAGUUGUGAAAGUUUGCGGCUCAACCGUAAAAUUGCAGUUGAUACUGGCUGUCUUGAGUACAGUAGAGGUGGGCGGAAUUCGUGGUGUAGCGGUGAAAUGCUUAGAUAUCACGAAGAACUCCGAUUGCGAAGGCAGCUCACUGGACUGCAACUGACACUGAUGCUCGAAAGUGUGGGUAUCAAACAGGAUUAGAUACCCUGGUAGUCCACACAGUAAACGAUGAAUACUCGCUGUUUGCGAUAUACAGUAAGCGGCCAAGCGAAAGCAUUAAGUAUUCCACCUGGGGAGUACGCCGGCAACGGUGAAACUCAAAGGAAUUGACGGGGGCCCGCACAAGCGGAGGAACAUGUGGUUUAAUUCGAUGAUACGCGAGGAACCUUACCCGGGCUUAAAUUGCAUUUGAAUAUAUUGGAAACAGUAUAGCCGUAAGGCAAAUGUGAAGGUGCUGCAUGGUUGUCGUCAGCUCGUGCCGUGAGGUGUCGGCUUAAGUGCCAUAACGAGCGCAACCCUUAUCUUUAGUUACUAACAGGUCAUGCUGAGGACUCUAGAGAGACUGCCGUCGUAAGAUGUGAGGAAGGUGGGGAUGACGUCAAAUCAGCACGGCCCUUACGUCCGGGGCUACACACGUGUUACAAUGGGGGUACAGAAGGCAGCUACCUGGUGACAGGAUGCUAAUCCCAAAAGCCUCUCUCAGUUCGGAUCGAAGUCUGCAACCCGACUUCGUGAAGCUGGAUUCGCUAGUAAUCGCGCAUCAGCCAUGGCGCGGUGAAUACGUUCCCGGGCCUUGUACACACCGCCCGUCAAGCCAUGAAAGCCGGGGGUACCUGAAGUACGUAACCGCAAGGAGCGUCCUAGGGUAAAACUGGUAAUUGGGGCUAAGUCGUAACAAGGUAGCCGUACCGGAAGGUGCGGCUGGAACACCUCCUUU